Molecule: non-coding RNA, 1755 nt
Organism: Ictidomys tridecemlineatus (thirteen-lined ground squirrel)
Lineage: Eukaryota; Metazoa; Chordata; Mammalia; Rodentia; Sciuridae
Source: RefSeq, a predicted model, not a curated record
GUUUUGUUUGGGGUUUGUAGUUCUAAAAAUAAAGUUAGUUUUUUUUGACAAGUGGCUCCUGAAUUGUGCCCAGAUAGACUGCGGCAUUUGGUGGCUCGCACGGGAGCGACUGAGGAGAGGAGUCAAGCACAUCUGAUAGGGAAAAGGGACAGAGAAAGGAGACGAUCCCAUAAGAGUGCUGGAGAUUUGGAAAACCAUCCACAUGGAAAAGAAAAAGUCAUUAUCUGGAAAAUGUAAAAGAAUCCUGUGCGAGACCUAGAGAACCCUUUGGGAAAAAGUGGCUAAGCCCAGAGAUUUUUUGGCAAAUAUCUUUGUUAUAGCAUGGAGAAUUCUCUCCAAUCUCUAUCAACAAGAAGAAAGAAUCCGCAGCACAAGACUAUGGUGAAGAGGAACUAAAGGCUUUGUAAAGGGUGAGAAAAGAUAAAACUCUGUAUCUUGUGUUAGGCUUAGAAAUGUCAGAAGCACUUUGAGUUGAAGUUCAUAGUAAAAUGCUUCAGCAGGGAGUUAACAGUUUUUUUUUUUUUAAAGCCAUAUCAAAAACUAGAAGAUAUGUUGGCACUUUUAUACUUUUGAAAAGCAAAAGGGCUUUAAGGUUUAGGAUAGAAAUGAAUAGCAAUAACAAUUUAAUAAACCAAUAAAUUCAUUAAUGCCUUAUAUGAGCCAUACAAAGCAAUUCCUGAGCUUUUAUUAUUUAUAUCAAUAGAUAGAAAUCUUGACACAGAUGUUCAUAUAACCAUAACGGUUUAUAUUUCAGAUAGGUAAAGAUAAAUUCUGUAGUAAAAUAAUUUGUUACAGGGAAUUCAAAUCUCUUCACAGAGAGAUGAAACAGAAAAUCUUCCACAUGUGGUAAAGCACAGUAUUCAACUAAUCUUACCUGGGACCUUGACUUUAGUCUUUGUUGAGAUUUUAAACAUCAUAAAUGUGGCUUCCUUAUAAACAUAGAUGUUGGAUUUACAACAUUGCAUGAAUAAGCAAAAUAAUUUUACAUUUCUCAAAAAGGGGUUUGCAAUUUCCAUGGGAACAGGGAUGGAGUUAUCUUAAAUUCUCUAGAAUGGAAUGGGAUUGAGAGGAUACCAGAAGCUCAGUGAAUGGGUCCUAAAAGACUCCAUAGAUGGUAAAUGGGAUGAAACUUGAAUACAAGGAACAGAAAGGGAGGUCAAAGAAGUUAGACCAUUUCUGUAGAGUAUCUGUCUCUUAAUAAUUAGUCUGUAAAUGUCUGUCUGUUGUAAUGUUGUAGAACAUUAUCUUAAAAAAAAGUAAACAACUUCAGUGAAGGUAGAGGAAGAGAAAGAUAUCAUUAACUACAAAUGGCUUAGCAUUCUCAUAAUCCAAUUCUGGGACCUACAGAAUUGGAAGUUGGCAACCUGCUCAAAGUAACACUGUCUAUGAUUGUCUGUCUUUCUCUGUUAUGGUUUGGAUCUCAAAAUGUGCCCUGAAAAGCUCAUGUUUUGAGAGCAUGAUCCCCAAGACAACAAAGUUCAGAGGUGGAGCUUUUAGGCAAUGAUGAGAGUGGAUUAAUCCAUUUGAUGGAUUAGUAAUUUUAAUGGACAAUUGAGCAGUAACUAUAGGUAGGUGGAACAAGGCUGGAGGAAGUAGGUCACUGGGGGUAUGUGGCCUUGGACAAUAUCUGUCCCUGGCCGCUUUCUCUCUCUCUGCUUCCCAACUGCCAAGAGCUGAGCACAUUUCCUUUACUACACUCUUCCUCCAUGAUGUCAUGCUUCACCUUGGCCCAGAGCAACAGAGUUGUCCAACCAU